AUGUUGUAUAAGAGGAGAGAAGGUUAACAUACCCCUGACAAGGAUGGAAAAGGCUAUAAGGCCUUACCUCAUACAUAGAGGCAUUUCUACUUAAUCUGGUGGCAUCUAGCCACUGUUUUGG
This 121-nucleotide non-coding RNA is filed under the name Neotoma lepida (desert woodrat). The record is from RNAcentral. Lineage: Eukaryota; Metazoa; Chordata; Mammalia; Rodentia; Cricetidae.